RNAcentral lists this transfer RNA (65 nucleotides) under Nigidius sp. NIG01. RNAcentral describes it as "tRNA-Trp". It matches the Rfam family "tRNA". From Rfam's summary of the family: Transfer RNA (tRNA) molecules are approximately 80 nucleotides in length. Lineage: Eukaryota; Metazoa; Arthropoda; Insecta; Coleoptera; Lucanidae. The record is from RNAcentral.
AAGGAUUUAGGUUAAAUUAAACCCAUAGCCUUCAAAGCUAUAAAUAAAGAAAACUUUAAGCCUUA